This 466-nucleotide ribosomal RNA is filed under the name uncultured bacterium. Its description in RNAcentral is "partial 16S ribosomal RNA". It matches the Rfam family "Bacterial small subunit ribosomal RNA", at positions 28 to 507 of the family's 1533-position model. The record is from RNAcentral.
GACGAACGCUGGCGGCGCGCCUAACACAUGCAAGUCGAACGAGCGAGAGAGAGCUUGCUUUCUUGAGCGAGUGGCGAACGGGUGAGUAACGCGUGAGGAACCUGCCUCAAAGAGGGGGACAACAGUUGGAAACGACUGCUAAUACCGCAUAAGCCCACGACCCGGCAUCGGGUUGAGGGAAAAGGAGCAAUCCGCUUUGAGAUGGCCUCGCGUCCGAUUAGCUAGUUGGUGAGGUAACGGCCCACCAAGGCGACGAUCGGUAGCCGGACUGAGAGGUUGAACGGCCACAGUGGGACUGAGACACGGCCCAGACUCCUACGGGAGGCAGCAGUGGGGAAUAUUGCACAAUGGGGGAAACCCUGAUGCAGCGACGCCGCGUGGAGGAAGAAGGUCUUCGGAUUGUAAACUCCUGUUGUGGAGGAAGAUAAUGACGGUACUCAACAAGGAAGUGACGGCUAACUACGUG